UUUUAUAACGUCCGUUUGCCGUGAAACGGCCGGAGGUGUUCGGAAAGUGCGACGACACCGACGGCCUUGCCGGAGAUGGGUGUGCCUAUCCCGAGUCGAUUUCAUCCCAAAAACCUUGCAAAAAGACGAGAUAUAACUUCAAUUUCACAUCUAAGCUUCGAUCUAGAACAUAAAAAGAAAAACCCAAAGCUUACCUAACCGGAGAAAUAGAAGGAACUCGCCGGAGCAGGUGCGAUGGUGUGCAUGUGGGUUCGACGAGGAGGGAGGAGCAGAGGAGAUGGGUGAUGAGACCUAAAAACCCUUAACCAAACCAUUAUUAAGUUGAGAAGCGUGAGAGUGCUUUGAACACUCUUUCGUGGCCUUCCCACCGUGGUAGGCUCCAAUCGUUUGUGACUCGUACACCGGCUUCACCCUAUCAUGGGGGAGUACAAAGUGCGUGCUUACACUCAGGAGGAGUCUAUAUGGAUACUUGAUGUUGUGAAAGGUAGGCAACGAGAAUAGCCAACAUCAUCUCAUUGUGAGGUUGUUCUUGAACCCCUACCCGAACUUGCAUGGUGGGAAUGACUUAACUAAGUGCAAUAGAGCCAACAUCAUAUCAUUGUGAGGCUACAUUCUCUAGAGGCCAAAUAAGAUGGGUACUUGCAAGCAUGGAAGAAAAUAUCGAUAAUAUCGGCGAUAUAUCACCGAUAUUAUCGAAUUUUCGUUAACCCGAUAUUCUAAGUGGUAUCCAAGGGGUUUUUCGUCAUAAUUUCGCGAUAAUAUCGAUAAUAUCGAUAAUAUCGCGAUAUUAUCGAUAUUAUCGCGAAAUUAUCGGAACUGUGGAAGUCGGAGACGAACGCCGGAGCUUCUACAGCUCCGGGCGACUGUAAAACAACCCCUAGACUCCGAUCUAGGUAUGAACAUGAAAUAGAAGAUGAGAGGAAUGUUUUUAUAACGUCCGUUUGCCGUGAAACGGCCGGAGGUGUUCGGAAAGUGCGACGACACCGACGGCCUUGCCGGAGAUGGGUGUGCCUAUCCCGAGUCGAUUUCAUCCCAAAAACCUUGCAAAAAGACGAGAUAUAACUUCAAUUUCACAUCUAAGCUUCGAUCUAGAACAUAAAAAGAAAAACCCAAAGCUUACCUAACCGGAGAAAUAGAAGGAACUCGCCGGAGCAGGUGCGAUGGUGUGCAUGUGGGUUCGACGAGGAGGGAGGAGCAGAGGAGAUGGGUGCGUGCGAUGGGUGCGUGCGUGCUGCGGUGCAGAGAAGAGAGAUGAGGGAGAUAUGAGAGAGAGAGCCGAGAGGGAGACAGAAGAAAAAG
Molecule: long non-coding RNA, 1299 nt
Filed under: Malus domestica (apple)
Lineage: Eukaryota; Viridiplantae; Streptophyta; Magnoliopsida; Rosales; Rosaceae
Description: long non-coding RNA (MDOM_LNC016742)
Source: RNAcentral